RNAcentral lists this ribosomal RNA (773 nucleotides) under uncultured Neocallimastigales. RNAcentral's name for it is "partial large subunit ribosomal RNA". It matches the Rfam family "Eukaryotic large subunit ribosomal RNA", at positions 24 to 616 of the family's 3401-position model. Lineage: Eukaryota; Fungi; Neocallimastigomycota; Neocallimastigomycetes; Neocallimastigales. The record is from RNAcentral.
ACGACUACAUAUCAGGCAUAUCAAUAAGCGGAGGAAAAGAAACUAACAAGGAUUCCCUUAGUAACGGCGAGUGAAGCGGGAAGAGCUCAAAUUUGAAAUCUUCAAGGUUUUACCUUGACGAAUUGUAGUUUAAAGAAGUGUUUUCUGUUGAAGUUUUGGUAAAAGUUCUUUGGAAUAGGACAUCAUAGAGGGUGAGAAUCCCGUAUUUGACCAUUAUUUCAGCUUUGUGAUACACUUUCAAAGAGUCGGAUUGUUUGGGAAUGCAGUCCAAAAUGGGUGGUAAAUUUCAUCUAAAGCUAAAUAUUGGCGAGAGACCGAUAGCGAACAAGUACCGUGAGGGAAAGAUGAAAAGCACUUUGAAAAGAGAGUUAAACAGUACGUGAAAUUGUCAAAAGGGAAGCGUUUGACACCAGUGCUGUUUUCUCGAAAAUCAAUUAAAAAAGUUGGGAUUUUGUGUUGUAUUGACCUUAUCAGCUUUCUAGCACUCUUUUCCUGUCUUUUUUAAUGCACUUUUCGUUUAACAAGUCAACAUCAAUUUCUUUUGUUGUAAAAGGGUCAUUGGAAGGUGGCUUUCUUUUCGGAGAAAGUGUUUAUAGCCUUUGAUCUCUGCAAUCGGAGAGACUGAGGUCUGCAGCGUAGAUCCUUCGGGGUUAGAUACAUUUGUGCUAAGUUAUAACUUUUCAUAGACAACUUGUUGACUAUGUUUAGUCAUGUAGCUUACUCGCUUAUGCUAUUUUACCUACGCUUAGGAUGUUGAGCGCAUGUCUCUCUCU